AGCUUUGUGAAUCUGUGCAGAGAUUUCGUUAGAAACCAACCCAUUAGAGCUGAUCAGACUUCCAUGAUAAGUGAAGUU
Molecule: non-coding RNA, 78 nt
Organism: Schistosoma mansoni
Lineage: Eukaryota; Metazoa; Platyhelminthes; Trematoda; Strigeidida; Schistosomatidae
Source: Rfam